This 501-nucleotide ribosomal RNA is filed under the name uncultured bacterium. RNAcentral describes it as "bacterial SSU rRNA". It matches the Rfam family "Bacterial small subunit ribosomal RNA", at positions 8 to 526 of the family's 1533-position model. The record is from RNAcentral.
AGAGUUUGAUCCUGGUUCAGGAUGAACGUUGGCGGUGCGCUUUAUGCAUGCAAGUCGUACGGAGCUGUAGUUUUCGGAUUACGGUUCAGUGGCGGACGGCUGAGUAACACGUAGGUAACUUGCCCGCGAGCGGGGGAUAACUUGCCGAAAGGUAGGCUAAUACCGCAUGGCAUGGAUUUGCUAAAGCAGAUUCAUUAAAGUCGUAAGACACUCGCGGAUGGGCCUGCGGCCGAUUAGCUAGUUGGCGGGGUAACGGCCCACCAAGGCGGUGAUCGGUAGCUGGUCUGAGAGGAUGUCCAGCCAGAUGGGGACUGAGACACGGCCCCAACUCCUACGGGAGGCAGCAGCAAGGAAUAUUGGGCAAUGGGCGAAAGCCUGACCCAGCGACACCGCGUGGGGGAAGAAGGUUCUCGGAUCGUAAACCCCUUUUCUCAGGGAAGAUAGUGACGGUACCUGAGGAAUAAGUCUCGGCCAACUACGUGCCAGCAGCCGCGGUAAUAC